CCUUCUCAAACAGCGAUGUUUGGUUGUGAGUGAUACUCGGAAGAGUUAGCUUGAAAAUGCUGGCCGGUGGCUGUAGCGGCUGGAGCUUCUUAUCCUGCUACGCAAAGGAGAGCUCUGCUGGACGUCUUCGUACUAGGUUCUGCCAAUUCGAGGACAGCUGGCGGGGGUUUCUGUGGCGGGAGCUACGGGAUGCUCAAUUUAAGGCUGCAGAGAGACAGCAGUGGCGAAGAGUGUUCUUUUAAGU
This 244-nucleotide ribosomal RNA is filed under the name Arxiozyma telluris. RNAcentral describes it as "Kazachstania telluris ribosomal RNA". Lineage: Eukaryota; Fungi; Ascomycota; Saccharomycetes; Saccharomycetales; Saccharomycetaceae. The record is from RNAcentral.